AGUGUUUUUUGGCAGUGGCUGGAUUGCUCUUCCCAGCAGGAGCUGGGUGCUGAGGACGGCCGCCCAGUUGCUUUGGAGUUUGGGCACUCAGGAAGGGCCACCUUUACGGAAAAACAUCCAGCAUGCAAUACUGCCUUUGUCUGCUUCGAGACACUGUAACAGAGCAGCCGAGAGUGGGUGAUGUGCAAACAUUGGAGGUUCAACAGUCAAAUCCAUCAGGAACCAAAAUAAUCUGAGCUUCCAACUUCCCGAUGAGGGUCCUUCUAGAAGCCCUGGGUGGGCAUUUUCACCGUAUCACUUACCGCUUGUCUCCUGGCAUUUAAACUGGCUGGACCAGCAGAGGCAAGCAGGAAGUCUCGCGUUCCGUUGCUUUUCAAAAAUGCAAAAUAACAGUGAAAGGUACCAAACCUUGCUCCGUUGCUGACGGGAUCGCCCACGGGGUCACGGAGGUCACCGGAGGUCAAAGGAAGAGUCUAGAACAAGCUGUUUCUUCCUCUCGAAUUUGUUGCUGAAUGAUCAAGUGAUCGCAUUUAGAUUCCCCCAACUUUCUGAAAGUCUCAGGCGACAAAGAACAACGUUCCCUGCAUUUCGAGCACCUGCUUUAUGUCUCCUCAAUGGAGGGGUGCCGGGGGCGGCAAGGGGACAUGCCUGCCUUAAAGCAGGGGACAGGAAACAGUGGUGAUGCCCAGGAUGCACGCACUCUGUUAUACAAGCUGCUGGGAGGCGAUGAUCCCUUCCAACUAUGAACACGCACACCCGAUAAAACCUCCAUUCAGUGUUUAAAGGGUAAUUUUUAAGGUUCCAUUGGGGGGGGGUGUUAAUAAGUGGGCUGUCCUGGGUAAGAGUCAACAUGCUUAAAGGUAAACAAUAUCUUACAGUAUAAAAAGUAUUUUCACAUGCACAAGCUAAUUAAUGCAGAGCCUUUCUGUGAAGGGGCUUUCUUUCUAUAGAAGCACAUUCAGGUACAGGGAUGGCCAGGACAUCCUGAGCCCAUGUAUCCUGGCUCAAAGCCCUUUCUCUGUGGCCUGGCUUGACCCCGGAAUACAGAAAACCGAGCCCGAGGAUGCCACGAGGAUGCCCUUCUAGGGUAUCAACACAGUGAAGUUACAUGGGGUUAGAGUUGAGUGAGUCGUUAAGAAAACACAACUUGACCCUUUUCAUUGCACCUAUAAGAAAUGAAGAGUUCAAGAAUGAUGCUGCAGAGCUGGGAAUACAGCUCAGGUGGUAAGUACCUGGGUUUGACCCCCCCCCCCACUCCCCAGCACCCACAUAAAGAUAGGUCUUGUACUCUACGUGAGUGUUCCACACUGGGAAAUAAGCAUGGAGGAGGUGGGAACAGGUUGGUUUAGGGGCUCGUUGACUAUUCAGACUAAACUAGCUGGCAAGCUUCAGAUCUUCAGGAGCAACUUUAUCUCAAAGAGUAAGAGGGGGCUGAAGAGACAGUUCAGCUAUUAAGAGCACAUAUCCAACCAUGAGGAUGAAUGUUCAGUUCCCAGCCCAUACAGAACAUGCUAGACAUGCCACGAACUUGUGUCACUACUGCUCCGAGUGGUUCGAUGCCCUAUUUUGGCUUCCAUAUGCAGCAUGCACAGGCGCACACACUUGUGCACACAUCCAUACCUGUAUUCCCUUGAUGUGCUUUAGUCCAAAUUUAGGAGAGGGGUGGUUCUGCAUAGCCCUGGCUAUCCUGGACCAGGCUGGCCGUGAACUCAGAGAUUCACCUGCUUCUGCCUCCCUGUUGGAGACCAUAACGUGAGAAAGCGAGCCUUUCACAAUCUCCCACCCUGACAAGCCAAAUGGCCUUGUGCUAAGGAGCAGGUCGUCACUCCCUCCUCCCUGUUCCCUUCCUGGCACCUGAGACUGUAAAAGCUGAAUUAUAGUCCCCUCUUCCUUAUCUCUUCCUGACUCCCAUGACAUCCAAGGACAUGAAUUAUGUCCUGACACCCAAGGCUGUUAAGGAGGAUUUCAGAUUUCGGAGAUAAGACCCAGAGUGCCCGCCGCCUGGAGCCUGACUUUGGCCCUCAUGUCCCCUGAUGCCCACUUCUUUGUUCUUUGUUAAUUCCCCCUCAACCCCUCCCUAUAUUCCCCUUGCUGUAUGCUUAAAACCUGGCGUUUCAGCCUAAUAAACUGAGACCUUGAUAGGAACCCUCU
This 2151-nucleotide long non-coding RNA is filed under the name Mus musculus (house mouse). RNAcentral's name for it is "predicted gene, 38409". The record is from RNAcentral. Lineage: Eukaryota; Metazoa; Chordata; Mammalia; Rodentia; Muridae.